Molecule: ribosomal RNA, 497 nt
Filed under: uncultured bacterium
Lineage: Bacteria
Description: partial 16S ribosomal RNA
Rfam family: Bacterial small subunit ribosomal RNA
Source: RNAcentral
GACGAACGCUGGCGGCGUGCCUAACACAUGCAAGUCGAGCGAAAGGACCAGAAGUUUGUUCCUCUGUUGUUAGAGGCGGAGGGGAGAGUCACAUGUGGAUAACCUACCUAUCAGACUGGGAUAAUUACGGGAAACCGUAGCUUAUACCGGAUAAUAUUUUGCACCGCAUGGUUCAAAAGUGAAAUUCGGUCUUGCUGUAACUAAUAGCUGGUUACGAGCUGGAUGAGCUAGUAGUUAAGGUAAAGGCAUAUCAAGGCAAGUAUGCAUAUCCGACCGCAGCGGGUGGUCGGCCACCUUGGAUGUGAGACAGAGUCCAGACUCCUACGGUAGGCAGCAGUAGGGAAUCGUCCGCAAUGGGGGAGAGCCUGACAGAGCAACGCCGCGUGAGUGAUGAAGGAGCUCUGAUCGGAAAGCUCUGUUAUGAGGGGAGAACAUAUGUGUAAGUAACUGUGCAGAUAUUGACGGUACCGGGUCAAAAAGCCACGGCUAACUACGUG